CCAACGCUGGCGGCGUGGAUAAGACAUGCAAGUCGAACGAGAGAAUUGCUAGCUUGCUAAUAAUUCUCUAGUGGCGCACGGGUGAGUAACACGUGAGUAACCUGCCCCCGAGAGCGGGAUAGCCCUGGGAAACUGGGAUUAAUACCGCAUAGUAUCGAAAGAUUAAAGCAGCAAUGCGCUUGGGGAUGGGCUCGCGGCCUAUUAGUUAGUUGGUGAGGUAACGGCUCACCAAGGCGAUGACGGGUAGCCGGUCUGAGAGGAUGUCCGGCCACACUGGAACUGAGACACGGUCCAGACACCUACGGGUGGCAGCAGUCGAGAAUCAUUCACAAUGGGGGAAACCCUGAUGGUGCGACGCCGCGUGGGGGAAUGAAGGUCUUCGGAUUGUAAACCCCUGUCAUGUGGGAGCAAAUUAAAAAGAUAGUACCACAAGAGGAAGAGACGGCUAACUCUGUGCCAGCAGCCGCGGUAAUACAGAGGUCUCAAGCGUUGUUCGGAAUCACUGGGCGUAAAGCGUGCGUAGGCUGUUUCGUAAGUCGUGUGUGAAAGGCGCGGGCUCAACCCGCGGACGGCACAUGAUACUGCGAGAUUAGAGUAAUGGAGGGGGAACCGGAACUCUCGGUGUAGCAGUGAAAUGCGUAGAUAUCGAGAGGAACACUCGUGGCGAAGGCGGGUUCCUGGACAUUAACUGACGCUGAGGCACGAAGGCCAGGGGAGCGAAAGGGAUUAGAUACCCCUGUAGUCCUGGCAGUAAACGGUGCACGCUUGGUGUGCGGGGAAUAGACCCCCUGCGUGCCGGAGCUAACGCGUUAAGCGUGCCGCCUGGGGAGUACGGUCGCAAGAUUAAAACUCAAAGAAAUAGACGGGGACCCGCACAAGCGGUGGAGUAUGUGGCUUAAUUCGAUGCAACGCGAAGAACCUUACCUGGGCUUGACAUGUAAUGAACAACAUGUGAAAGCAUGCGACUCUUCGGAGGCGUUACACAGGUGCUGCAUGGCCGUCGUCAGCUCGUGUCGUGAGAUGUUUGGUUAAGUCCAGCAACGAGCGCAACCCCUGUUGCCAGUUACCAGCACGUGAAGGUGGGGACUCUGGCGAGACUGCCCAGAUCAACUGGGAGGAAGGUGGGGAGGACGUCAGGUCAGUAUGGCCCUUAUGCCCAGGGCUGCACACGUACUACAAUGCCCAGUACAGAGGGGGCGGAAGCCGCGAGGCGGAGGAAAUCCUAAAAACUGGGCCCAGUUCGGACUGUAGGCUGCAACCCGCCUACACGAAGCCGGAAUCGCUAGUAAUGGCGCAUCAGCUACGGCGCCGUGAAUAAGUUCCCGGGUCUUGCACA
RNAcentral lists this ribosomal RNA (1336 nucleotides) under uncultured bacterium. RNAcentral's name for it is "bacterial SSU rRNA". It matches the Rfam family "Bacterial small subunit ribosomal RNA", at positions 30 to 1387 of the family's 1533-position model. The record is from RNAcentral.